UCCGUGUGUACUAUCAUGUUGUUAUUGUUGUUGAAAUGUUUGACUUUGUAACAGUUGAAAAAUUGGCAAUAACAUUAAUCGACAUCAACAUCGAUUGAUAUCAAGCUAGAACAUAAACACACUCACACGAAACUAAAACUGGCCAAUAAAACCAUGAGAGAUACUAUUCCAAAAAAUGUUUUAUCUAAUCGAUAAUCUUCAAAACAAAUAUUCCAAUCGAAAAUCAUAUAAAUUUGCGUACAAAAUCGUGCCUUGUACAAAUGAGUGCAUCAAACAAAAGCUCAUUUCGAUUCAAACGAUUCUUGAUCGAAGCCAAAAAAAAUUUCAUGAACAAAAUGAAGGUGUUACUAUUGGUUGACGUCAUUUUGUCGAUAGCAAUGGUAAAUGUAGCCAUUCUAAAAUUUAAAUUCCUGCUAAAACCCAUGUCAGUCAGAUUUCAAUUUCUAUUAACCAUUUUUGUCAUUUUGUCUGCCUACGGUGCUGCAGGUGUUGAUGACUUUCCGCUUCCAACUCCAAAGCAAAUUGACUGCAUUUUCAAACUGGUUGAGAAGACUGUCAGUGAAAAUCCGGGCUUUGAAAGUGGCACAUUUAAUUUGGUCAAGCAUUUAGAACAUUUGCAGAGAUUGUAGAAAAAUGCAACUCACUCACCGGCAACGAACAAGUCGAAUGUUUACAAAAGGUGAAACAAGAAGCAUUUGUGCAAUACAAACGAUUGCUCAGUUUGUUACCCGGGAACCUGCGAACACAAUUCGAUAAUGAUUUCACAAAAUGCUUGGAAACGACAUGGUUCGCAAAUGAAGCGGCUACAUUCGCUGGUGAUAUCAUUUUUCCAAUCACGAUCGAUGAUCAGGUCGAAUGCGGCCGGUUGGCUGCGGAUCUGAUUACAUAUUGUUUUUUGAAUGAAAGAAAGUGAUGAAAUCAAUUAUUGCAAAGAAUUCAAAAUACGUGCUGUGGGGCGUCUAUGUGAAACGAACCGUGGAUUCAUUGAAAAACAAAGCCAAAAAAUUUGAACUACUUUCUGAAGCUGAACAAAAGGAAUGCUAUGAUAAGCUCAACGAACAAGUGAAAGUAGAAUACGACCGUUUGGCUAAUAAAUUGCCAGAAAAUCUUCGAGUACAAUUUGAAGAUGAUUUUACCAAUUGCUUCCAAUACUUGCAUUAAACUUGAUAUGACUUACUUUAAGUGGCCUUCAAAAUGCAGUUCAAGAUUAGUCAUCACGAAUUCCAUCAUUAGAAGCUUUCAGCUUUGCGAUUCAAUGUAACCAUACGUAUAUGAAAAACGCUCAAAUGAACAAUGAAAACGAAUUUGAAAUGAAAAAAAUGGAGAAUGUCUAUUCAAAAGCUUCGUUUCGUUCUCCAUAUCAGCCGCAAAUGGACUUUAUCAACAUAGUAAGACGCAGAACUGAUGUCACCUUAAAAUAUUAUACCUGAUGAAGUAUAUUAUACAGCAGAGAAGAAAAAGAGCAUAAAGUGCGAAAUGAAAAAAAAAAAAACGAACGCGGUCUCACUCAUCAGCCUUUGAUAUGGAAUGACGAUAACAGCAGACAUAGACCUUGGUUAGUUAAUUAAAUCUAAUCGUUGAUUAUAGAUUUCCAUUGAAAAAAAACAUUUCGACAAUACGAUUGUAAUGAUUGUAACGUCUAAUUCCGUGUAAUAAAUGCGAAUUUCAAGCUAACACACUCAAUCUGUUAAAUGCAUAAGCACCACGAUCGUUUGAAUGGGCUCAAUCUAAUUGGAUCGAAUUUAUGUUUCUAAUUGGAAUUCCAUACCACAAGGAGAGCACGUGAACAAUCAUCCAUAUCAACGAAAACCGUAGAAACCAUAUAAUAACCAUUUCCACUUGAUCA
This is a long non-coding RNA of Sitodiplosis mosellana (orange wheat blossom midge), 1846 nucleotides long. RefSeq lists it as uncharacterized. NCBI's taxonomy places the organism in Eukaryota, Metazoa, Arthropoda, Insecta, Diptera, Cecidomyiidae. The transcript is spliced from 6 exons. The record is from RefSeq and is a predicted model, not a curated record.